GAAAGGGACGAUAGAUCUGAUUUUUCUUUUUAACGGUCGAGAGGGAAAUAUGCCAUUUGUGGAGCUUGAGCCACACAAAGAAAGCGGCGGAAUGAUCCGCUCUCGGCGACCGCAAGUCCCGGCUCGCCCGGCGCCUGCGCGGCACGGGGGUGGGAGCUGCGGCCGGCCAUGUGCGCCGUGGAGGAGCCCGGCUGGUGGCCGAGUCUUCCCGCCUCUUUCUGCGGGGGCUGGCGGUUGGGAUACUAAAGUGCGUGUUCCUACCUUCUUUUCUCUCUGACAAGACCGCCGAGACGGGGAAUCCCCACUCCGAGGUUAACCAGAGUCGCCUAGCAGAGUCCUGGGAGACGGAAGAGCAGCCAGCAGGCUAGGAUUUAACUUAAAGUGGCCCUAGAUUCAACUAGCCAGAUUGGGACAGGAGUAGCGGUUGAGGUACAAGAGGAGGAACGAAAGAUGGUCCUUCUCCACUUCCAUAAACUGAGCAGUCAGGUUCAUGACGAAGACGUACUUAUUUCUAUAGCCUUUUUUUGUUUGUUUAACAUACCGGUGGUGUCACAGGCGUCUCGUACUUAAGCGACCCUAAAAUAAUUGCUUGCUAAUUUUCCUUGGAUUACUGUCACCUCGGAGGUAGAGGUCUGUGUUUCCGUGGCUGGAAUGUCACGAUUCUUGUUGUGUUGUAUUUUAUUAAGAAAGUAGCAAAAGUUUAUUUGGAGGUAGUAAUUUACAAAGUAAAAGUCUUUGGAAGUUAAUUUACUUGUGAUGAUUUGCUAAGAAAUCCAACACACCGGUAUGUUUUUAACAGAUGAGCUUAAGAAUGACUUUCCUACGUGGCUUUCCCAAGUUGCUAACGUGCAAAUUUUGGCUUCCUAUAUUUAGGAGUUGGUAAUAUCUGAGACAGCGCCAAGAGUUCAAUCUAGGAGAGUUUACAAGCUUAAAUGAAAUCCAUAUUACUUUUUGAUUUUGUGAUUACUUCAGAUAAGUAAUUUAUCUCCAGUUAUCCUUUUGUGAUAUUGACGUGGUAAAGGCUUGUAAGUCUUUAACUUAUUAAGACAUUUUGCCUAAAACAGAAGCAAAGUAAGUGGCAUAGGAGC
RNAcentral lists this long non-coding RNA (1088 nucleotides) under Lynx pardinus (Iberian lynx). Lineage: Eukaryota; Metazoa; Chordata; Mammalia; Carnivora; Felidae. The record is from RNAcentral.